This 1759-nucleotide long non-coding RNA is filed under the name Piliocolobus tephrosceles (Ugandan red Colobus). RNAcentral describes it as "lncRNA (ENSPTEG00000018681.1)". Lineage: Eukaryota; Metazoa; Chordata; Mammalia; Primates; Cercopithecidae. The record is from RNAcentral.
UAAUAGAUUCGUUAGGGAUAACACAAAUUGUAAUACCUGUUUCAGUUUUUUUAUUUUUCUUUUUUUUUUUUUUAUCUUAUAUUUUUACUUCUAUAGAAAAGCGUACAAAACGGAAAGGAAGAACAGAUGUAUUUACUUGAAAAUUUUUUUAAAAGAAAAAACAAAGCGAUUUUGGAUAUCAUUAUUUUAAAGAAAGAGCUGCAUAUGCUUAAAAAGAAAAAUAAAGAAUAUAAAAAAACUAUUAAUGAAAUGGAAGAUAAAUUAAAUAUUAAUGAAAAAGUAAAAUUAAAAAAAGAUGAUUUUAUUAUCACCCCUUCUUAAGAUUAUUUAUUUUAGCAACUUAAAAAAAAAAAAAAAAAAAAAAAAAAUGAAUAUAUGUAUAAAACCAUAUAUAUAUAAAAAAUAUUUACUAUAACUAUCAUAUGCUUGUUCAACAAAGGAAAACAAAAAAAGAAAAAAUACAUUACAUUUAUAUUUUUAUAAAAUAUUACUUUAAAAGCUUAUGGUAUUUUAUAAACUGCGAAACAUAAAAAAUAUAAAUACAUACGCAUAUAUAUUUACAUUCGUCUUAUUUUGUUUUCUCAUUUUUUGUAACAUUUUUCCAUUUUUUCAUAUUUUUUGAGUUUUUCUUUUUUUUUUUUUUUUUUUUUUUUGUUGUUGUUUUUCUUAAAUGUUCGUAAAUAUACUUCAUUAUAUAUGAUAAAAAAAAAAAAAAAAAAAACUAGCAUAAAAGAUAACAUGAAAUGUAAAUAACAAUUACAAUGAAUUUUCAAAAAUGGGUAAGGUAUAAUAGUGCUCGUUUCAUUUGUUACAAAAACGAAGUACCCUACUUUUUUAGCAACGAAUCAAAAAUACCAGUUAAGAAAAUUAUUCCUUGUAAAGAAGUUAAUAAAAGAGAAAACCAACACAAAUAUACAUUAAUUAAUAAUAUAUAUUAUGUAAAAGAAUUAGAUUUGUAUGAUAAACUUAUCAACAUAUAUGUUGAUGUUAUUUUUAAUUUUGAAAAAUAUCCUCUGCAUGUUCAGCAUUUACAUAUAUUUUGCAAGAACUUACUUAAAGAAAAGGUAGAGAGUGUUAAAAAAAGUUCCGAACAUAAAAAAAGACUGUUUGAAAUAGGAGAUGUUACAACAGAAACUCUGAAUGAGUAUCUUAGCAUCAGAGAAUAAUUUUUAAUUAUACUGAACUGACAUUAAUGAACGAAUUACAACACUGUUUUGCGAAUUCUUCUUUAAGUCAAGGUAAAGAUAUUUAUAAGUAUAUUAAAAAAUAUGGUAAAGAUAAUAUAUAUAUUUAUAUUUUAGAAUAUUGUAAUAAUUUAAAUAUUUUAAAAAAACGAUUUGAUGUUGUUAAACAUUUAUUUUUUUUUAACAACUUGCGAUUAUAAUAUUAAUAUGAGUGGAGUAAGCUUUUACCUCAUCCAAAAAAACAAAAAAAAAAAAAUUAAUUACUUGUUUAGGUAGCUACGAACAGAAGCAUAACAAUUAAUGUAUAUAAACAUAUAUAUAUAUAUAUAUAUAUAUAUAUAUAUAUAUAUAUAUUUUUAUGUUAUUGUAGGUUAUUUUAUUUUUUUUGUUACAUAUAUUCUGUGUCUGUGAGUAUAUACACACAUUUGUACAUUAUUAUCAAAAGACUUACUUUAAUUGUUCAAAUAUAUACAAUUUUGUCUAUACUUAUUUAUUUUCAACAUAACAAAACUUUUAAUUAGUAACCUCUUUUCCCUCCAAAUAAAAAAAUCAUAAAUGAAUAAAAUUAUUAUUUU